Molecule: ribosomal RNA, 1416 nt
Filed under: Triticum aestivum (bread wheat)
Lineage: Eukaryota; Viridiplantae; Streptophyta; Magnoliopsida; Poales; Poaceae
Description: partial small subunit ribosomal RNA
Source: RNAcentral
AUGGGUGCCAACUCGCUGCCGUCGCCGUCGUGCCCCGACGGCAGGAAGCGGCGCGUGUGCUACUACUACGACCCGGGCAUCUCCAACGUCGACUACGGCGAGGGACACUCCAUGGUGCCCCGCCGCGUCGCCAUGACCCACGGCCUCGUCGCCUCCUACGGCCUCCUCAACCACAUGACUCGCCUCCGCACCAGGCCGGCCAGCCCGGAGGAGCUCCUCGCGUUCCACGACCAGAAAUACGUCGACCUCCUCGGUAGGCUCACCCCCGCCGGGUACAUCAGCGACGCCGACCUCCGGCGGACAGCCGAGGAGCAUGGCAUCGGUCCCGUGCGCCGCUGGGACGGCACCUACACGAACGACAAUCCCGCCAUCGAAGGCCUCAUGGGGUACUGCCUGAGCUACGCCGGCGGGUCGCUGGCCGCGGCGCGCGCGCUCUGCAGGGGCGACCACGACGUCGCCAUCAACUGGUCCGGCGGCAUGCACCACGCGUGCCGGGGCCACGCCAACGGCUUCUGCUACGUCAACGACAUCGUGCUGGCCAUCAAGCAGCUCCUCGGCCGCUUCCCGCGCGUGCUGUACGUGGACAUCGACGCGCACCACGGGGACGGCGUGGAGAAGGCCUUCGUGGACUCCAACCAGGUGAUGACGCUGUCCUUCCACCAGUACGAAAGCCAGUUCUUCCCCGGCACCGGGAGCAUCGACGACGUUGGCGAGGGGGCCGGCAGGUACCACGCCCUCAACGUGCCGCUCAAGAAGGGCAUGGACGACCAGGGGUACCAUGAGCUGUUUAAGCCGAUCGUCGGCAAGGCCAUGCAGGUGUUCCAGCCGGACGCCGUGGUGCUGCAGUGCGGCGCCGACUCGCUCUCCGGCGACCGGCUCGCUGGCCUCGAGCUGUCGGUGGGCGGCCACGCGGAGUGCGUCAAGUACCUGCGGGGAUUCAACGCGCCGCUGCUCCUCCUCGGCGGCGGCGGCUACACCAUUAACCACGUCGCCUCCUGCUGGUGCUACGAGACGGCGGUCGCCGUGGGCAAGGAAGACGAGAUCGCCGACGAGAUACCACACCAUCCGUACGAUCACUACUACAGGAGCCAGGGUUACAAGCUCCAGUGCCGCACGGAGGCGCCCGGCAGCCGCAGCAGCGGGGAGAAUAAGGACGCGGCCGCCAUUAGGGUGAAAGCCCUGGAGCACCUCUCGGCGAUCAACUGCGCGCCGAGCAUACAGUUCCACGAGCCAUGCGCCGCGGCGGCCCAAGGCAUGGACGUCGACGACCUCUGCCACGACGACGACGAGGACGAUGAUGAAGAAGAAGAAGACCCCAUGGAGAGGCUGCACCGGCUGUGCGACAACGCGGACCUCGCCGGGUUUUUCGUGGAAUUGGGGCGGAAGCACAGUCUAUCGUCCUCUGCCAUGGGUUGA